UACGGAGGGGGCUAGCGUUGUUCGGAAUUACUGGGCGUAAAGCGCACGUAGGCGGCUUUGUAAGUUAGAGGUGAAAGCCCGCUGCUUAACGGCGGGUUGGCUUCCGGUACGGGCAUCGCUGGAGUGCGGCAGGGGAGACUGGAAUUCCUGGUGUAGCAGUGAAAUGCGUAGAUAUCGGGAGGAACACCUGUGGCGAAAGCGGCUCACUGGACCACAACUGACGCUGAGGCGCGAAAGCUAGGGGAGCAAACAGG
Molecule: ribosomal RNA, 254 nt
Filed under: uncultured bacterium
Lineage: Bacteria
Description: partial 16S ribosomal RNA
Rfam family: Bacterial small subunit ribosomal RNA
Source: RNAcentral